RNAcentral lists this long non-coding RNA (303 nucleotides) under Zonotrichia albicollis (white-throated sparrow). RNAcentral describes it as "lncRNA (ENSZALG00000000399.1)". Lineage: Eukaryota; Metazoa; Chordata; Aves; Passeriformes; Passerellidae. The record is from RNAcentral.
UAAAAUUUAGGAUGCAUUGGAAUUUCCAUGCCAAAGGUGGAAGACAGCCCCUCUGGAUCUCAGACAAGCAAAACAAUGCAAACCUAGAUUUUAAAACCAGAAAGACAAAUAAUGCUCAAGAAUUUCAAGUCUGGUGAAAGCAUUUCACUGCUCCAUGACUCUUGCAAAGAGGCCUGUUUUUUCAGACUGCCUUUAUCAGUUAUCCAUCAUGACCACGUCUUUCUGGACAGGACUCUUUGGGGGUGCAGUGCUGCCCUGUCAAGAAGAUGGCUUGUAUCCUGUGGUGUAUACAGAAACAACUAA